Gossypium raimondii (Peruvian cotton) is the source of this 1665-nucleotide RNA transcript. It is a transcript of the gene named probable inactive heme oxygenase 2, chloroplastic, with no coding region annotated. The transcript is spliced from 5 exons. The record is from RefSeq and is a predicted model, not a curated record. Lineage: Eukaryota; Viridiplantae; Streptophyta; Magnoliopsida; Malvales; Malvaceae.
UGAUCUCUUCUCUCAUCCCAAGCGAUGAUGCGAUUGUCUUGUUUCUGCCAACACCUUUCGAUGGAUUCGGCUUUCAAAUCGCCCAUCUUUCAUCCAACUGCAUCUUUCAGUCAUUCUCAAGUUUCAUUCCCUUUCUUCAGCUUCCAAGCACAAUACCUUAGCCUCAACAAACCACCCACCAUCUUACGCUGCUCUAACUCUUCCACCAUUUCUUCCACCACUAAUGGUAAUAACAACAAUAUGGCAGGGCUUCCGGUGAAGAAGAAGAGGAAGCGGUAUAGGAAACAGUACCCUGGAGAGAAUGAGGGCAUUACUGAAGAGAUGAGAUUCGUUGCCAUGAGACUUCGUAAUAUUAAAGGUAAAAAGGUCAGUUCCGAUAGUGUUUCUGACUCUGAAACCGACACUGAAAAUAACCCAAGCGAUCAAGAAAAAGAUGAUUCUGAAACUGUGAAAAGCGGUGAAAAUGGUAGUGGUGGAGAAGCGGAGACUUGGAGUCCCACUAUGGAAGGAUUUCUUAAGUACUUGGUUGAUAGCAAAUUCGUCUUCAACACUAUUGAGCGCAUCGUUGAUGAAUCCGAUGAUGUUGCUUAUGCCUACUUCAGGAAAACUGGACUGGAAAGAUCAGCAGGGCUUUCUAAAGAUCUAGAAUGGUUCAGCCAACGAGAUCUUGUAGUUCCAGAACCUAGCAAUCCAGGAGUUUCGUAUGUCAAUUAUUUGAAGGAAUUAGCCGAGAAAAGUGCCCCACUUUUCUUGUCUCAUUUCUACAAUAUUUAUUUUUCACACAUAGCUGGCGGUCAAGUGAUUGCAAGGAAGGUUUCUGAUCAGCUUCUUGAAGGAACGGAGCUAGAGUUCUAUAAAUGGGAGGGUGAUGUGCAAGAAUCAUUGAAAGAUGUCCGCAAGAAUCUCAACAUGCUUGGCGAGCAUUGGUCUCGAGAUGAUCGAAAUAAAUGCCUGAAAGAAGCAGCAAAGUCAUUCAAGUUUUUGGGGCAGAUAGUUCGUUUGAUAAUCUUAUAAACAGGAUUGGUUUCCCAUCAAUGCACUGUAUAUUUGUAAGCCGAUAACCUUUCCACUUGUUCUCCUCUACCGACCUCCUUUUGCACUGCAUGCCAUUGAUAUUAGAAGCCGGCAAUGCAUUCACCUAGUUGUCGGGAUUGUCGGGACAGCCAACAAAUGGAAUAUCGGCACCACUGUCGUGCAUUCAUUGACAUUAAUGUCCUCUAGUGGUGGUGGUGACAUUCUUACUUGGGGGCACUAAGCAAAGGAAGCGGCCUUUGUUUCCAAAACAUGAAAAUGGUGGCGAUUGGUGUUUCCACUGAAGAUGUGUGAAAAUAAACAGCAAGUUUGACGGUGGGACAGUGGCGAUGUUUCAUGUUCUUGGGUGUUUGCUUUUUAAUGUAACAUGCAAGAAACCAUGAAUUUAUCCUAGUGGGUGUAAGAGUAUGCAGGCUUUGAUUAAAAUUGGACACUUUAUGUACUAUUUUGAAAUUUUAGAAGAGACAUAACCAAGUGGGAAUAGACCAAGCUAGGACACUUUCAUUAUGUUUGUUGUUUGUUAAGUUUCCAUGUCCGACACAUACAAAGAAAUUUUUUCGGAUUAUCGUAUGACAAUGCAGAUUACCCUCUUGUUGAGAAAUUUUAAUAAGAAUUUAUGUUGUGUUCUGAUCA